This 17575-nucleotide long non-coding RNA is filed under the name Prunus persica (peach). Its description in RNAcentral is "long non-coding RNA (PPER_LNC002799)". The record is from RNAcentral. Lineage: Eukaryota; Viridiplantae; Streptophyta; Magnoliopsida; Rosales; Rosaceae.
UUUUUUUUUUUUUUUUUUAUCAAAUAAAAAUUUCAUUAGAUAAAUUUUAAUUGUACAAUCAAAGAUAUCUAAAAUAUCAAUCUUAAGAGGGCAACAAACUAACAUGCUAAAAACACAACUAACGCGGAUAAAAACCGCACUAAAACUACUAGCCCACAUCACUACAAUUAACCAUAAACCCAAACAAAUCCCACAAACCCAACAUAACCAACCCUAAAACAACCCAUGAGCCUAGCAGAACCCUACCACCACCACCUGAUGAGGCGCCGUCGCGGCCAUACCCAUCAUCACAUCCGUAACAAAUCUGCCCAUAAGAGGGAACAAAUAAACGGAAAACCACAACUUUGUCAAAAAAUAAUUGGGUGAUUUACAGCAACCUCCGUCAAAGACGAUGUAGAAUCAAAUUUAGAGAACAUGAGCUAUAAUUCUCUUGCCUAAACUCAAUUUUUAAAUUUUUUGAGAUUUUAGAAUUUUACCACUCAAAGGGAGUUCAAGCACUAUUCAAGAAGGGCAUCACUAGUGUAGUGGAUUGAAGCAAUUGCUCCCCCAGACAAAGUCUUGGGUUCGAAUUCUAAUAUCAGUGUCGUGUGUAUGCAUUUAAUAUAUUAUCACCCCUCUCAAUAGAAAAUGUCUUUUUUAGAAAAAGCACUAUUCAAGAAGGGGUUUCGAAUAGCUAUAUUUCUAUAUCUUGGCAAAAACGCAAAAGUCUUUAAUGGACCUUAAACCAUUAGCAGUUACCGUAAAAUGACAUUAAAAAGUUAAAAAAAUUAAAAAUAAAAAUAAAAAGAAGCAAAAAACCCAAAUACAUAUACAAAGACUAAUCUAGCAAAAGACACCACCUCGCUGUUAAAACAAGGGGAGACCUAUUUGAGAUAUGUUUACAGUACAAGUGGAGUUCACAAAUGUAGCACCAACAAGAAGAAGCAGAGAAUAAGUGGGACAAACAAAUAUAUUGCUGUUAUUCAACAUCCAUUGUUUUAGUGUUUUUACUCUCUACAAUCCUUCACAAACUUUGCAAAGGGUGAAAAUUUCACACAUCAAAUUCAAAGGGCAUAAAUUCGAUCGAUUUCCGAAUUGGAAUAGUCAGAGGGCAUCCAUGAGUUGGAACCACUCCUCCUUGCAUGCUUCUCCUUCUUCCUCGUGGAACGAAUCCGCUUUGACUUUACCACAUAAUAUGUCAUGGUGCCAAGAACUGCGGCCAUUAUCAUUCCCCCAACAACUGUUACCAGAAUUGCAGCCCACUUAUGGUGUCGGCCUACCACUAUGUAAGAGGAGGCCAUGAAAGCCACUGAAGUGCACACGGAAGCCAGCCACAUCAACUUAUUGAUUAUCUCCACCACCCGUUUCUCCGCUUUUGUCUCCCCUCUGACCAAGGUAAUUUGAACAACCACAACAGCCAACGACGUAAAGAGAGCAAUGGCAUUGAAAAUGAAGAAAAUUUUGAAAGGAGGACUCUUCACUACCACAGCUGUCCCAUCGUCUUUAUCACCACCUGGCACAGUAAAGAUAGCUGCAAAGGCAACCGUUGCAAAUAGAACAGCCACCACAGUGACUGAGUUGGUGGCAUUGUUGAUUCCUUCCCUGUGGAGCUUUCUGAGCUCUUUGGAAAUAUUGUGAACAUUUUUAUUGGUUUUCUUUGUUUGUUCAAGCUGGAUAUGAACAUCGUUCUUGAUCUGAGUCACUGUUUUUCUCAAUUCAUCCCUUGGUUGGUUCAGUUCAUUAGCCUUGACAGCACCGUAGCGAUAAAGGCAACCCCUUAUGUCCGAGGAUUCUUCAGAAGGUGGAAGUGCAUCAGCAAUGUCCAGAGCCGUUUUGGUCUCCCUGUUCAGUGCAUUAACAUUGCUGUCUGGGAGGAGUAACAACUCAUUCACUAUCUGCAAGGAAAGCAAAAAAAUAUCAUUACAGAUAGAUCUAUAAUUGUAAUGGAGAUGUGCAAGCAUGAAAGCAAGAACCGACGGCUAUGCUAGUUCAGCUUGAACCAAAGCUAAAAAGAAGUGCAGAAAAUACGAUAAAGGUCCCUAAACCAAUUUUUCAGAGAAACAACGUGAAUACUGAUGCCAAUUUUUAGCCACCUUAACUAUUUUGUUCACACCAGACUAGCAAAUAAGAACUCAUAGUUCAUCCCAAUUAUAUUAACACAUACAAAUCAAGUUAUAUCACAAAAGGAAAUUGCCAAAGAAGAAUAACUCAUAUUGUAGCAACCAUGUGCAAGGAUCACACGGUUGGAGAAAGGAUUUUACAAAUGGCAAAAGAGUAAAUCUAAAAGAAAGGGAAAAAAGCAGUAUACACACUAGCAGAUACAUAAUUUGCCUUACACACUAGAAACCGACAUUCUUUCUUGAAUCAAUACAAUAUCAAGGAUAUAUGUUUUUGCUUUCUGCAUCCACUAGAAGAAGGGCAUAUAACUAUUCGGUAUCAAACUAUUCCUAUCAUCCUAUAAAAAUAAAAUAUAAAAAAAACUUUCCCUUCCAUAAACCAUGCCGCCAAAAAGUAACAUGGUAUAAGUUUAAAAAUAAAACUUAGCCUGAGAUCUGCAAAACUACAAAGGCUUCAUAAUAUGCAAUUACUUAAAGCAUCAUUGACUCACGGCCACCAUUACUAUAUUAAAGAAAUUGGAAUUCACAACCAUAUACCAUUCAAAAGAUACAUCAGUAAAGAUGAGGGUGCAUAGUAACCCAGAUAUAAAGUACCUCUGCUCGCUUUUUCCUGGUGGCUACAUGCAAUGCUGUGUUACCAAAUUUAUCGGGAAGCAUAACAAUUGCAGAGUCUGCCUCAAGAAGCAAUUUCACUACAUCACAGUUCGUCCCCUUUACAGCCAUAUGCAAUGCAGUUUGCCCUUUCUUGUCAGUUCUUCGUGCUAAUUGUGGAUCCUUACUCAGCAACGCUCUUACGAUCUCCACAUGCCCCCCUCUCGCAGCUAGAUGCAAUGCAUUCUUCCCAUUUGAUUUAGAAAUCUCCAACAAGGUACAAUCCUUUGACAGCAGCUCAUCAACUACCGCUAUAUGCCCUCUUUGAGCUGCAGAUAUAAGUGGGGUUGCAUUCGACGGGCCAAUUGUUUUGCUUAGCCCAGGGUCAUGAUCUAGUAGUACCUGGACGAUGGCUGCAAGAAAAGUGGGAGUAUGAAUGUAUUGUUCAACGGCACAGUAGCAUUCAGACCAUGGAAGCUCUAACUUUCAUUUUACUCGGACUAGAAAGAAAUCAUUAUGUGGGUAUAGACAAAGAACCAGGGCAGAAGCAACUUUAGGAAUACUGUCCAACGGAACCAGGAGACAAUUGUCAUAUGACAAAGUUAACACGUGUGUGUUGUCCACACAAGGACAUAGUUUAUAAUACACCAUAAUCUUGAAUGCUUCACUCUCUAUAAAUAAAUAUCACAAAAAAUUGAUAGCCUGUACUGUUGAUGAGAAAAUAAGAGCAGUGGCAAGUAUUUUAUGCAGUAAACACUUGGAUACUCCAUCAACCAAAAUUAAUCAUUCUUUCAAAUCAUAAAACUUGCAAACUAAAUAAUCAGUACUUCCAAUUUCCAGUGCAGCUUUGCUCAUACGAUAUACACUCUAUUGCCCAUUAUGUUAAAUAACUACAAAAACAAGAGAAAUGACAUAGCCAGAUCCCAACAUCUCCAAAAAGCGAACUUUAAUCCUAAUAACCCUCUUGCAAUCUUCACCACAACAAAAGUUCCACAGAUACCCAAAUUCACAAACCAAAUAAUUAAAAUUAGAUAAGGAGUUCAAAAUCCAAAAGAGCAUAAAAGCUGAAGAUCAUUACCAUGGUGUCCUCGACAUGCAGCUAUAUGCAAGGGAUCAAACCCCGAGCGGUUCUUCUUCGUAACGCUGUCCUUAUUUGAAUACUUCAACAGUUCCUUAACAACAUCAAGAUGCCCUCUAUCGGCGGCCGUGAACAAGGCAGUCUCCCCCAGCUCAUUCACCUCAUUCACCACCGCCGCCCGUACCUCAGCCACCUCCGAAUCAAACUCGGGCCCACUGACGGUCCCCACCAUCUGCGAAUCGAUAUCACCGAGAAUCUUCUGUACGGCGGCUAGAUCGGCGCGCUGAGCAGCCAAGUGGAGCUCAGUGUCGUUGUGGCGACCGGUGACCUGCUUCACGUACUUCUUCUUUCCCGCCUGGUCCAUGCGCUUGCCGGAGUUGGACAGGACCAAGGCCGGUGCCGACGCCGUCGACGACGGCGAUGGCGAUGGCGAUGGCGAAGGCGAAGGCUCGGCCAGAGGGUUUUGGUUCUGUGUUGGAGUCAUCAGACCUUUCUCUAAGUCCCUAUCACCUCCUCCUAUAAGUUCAAUAAUCACAAAAUUGAAAGUUACAAAACCUGUUUGGUUCAGAGGAAAGGAAGAACUUUCCAGGAAAAUUUAUAAAAAAAAGUAGCUGAUUUUGGAAAUGAAAUUAUGCAUGUGGGCAAAGUGACAGGCACCUGACAAGUUGUUGAUUGUUAAUCCAUUUGAGUAUUUAAUUUCUUAGUUUAUUCAUUUAUUUUGAGAGCUCUAGCUACAGAGAAUCUUUUUUUCUUUCUUCCUAUCAAAUUAAUUGGAAAUUAAAAAAUAUGUAUGUGUACAGAAAGAGAGGGAGAGCAGAGCACCUUGUUCAAUUGAGGUCGCCAUGGGAGACUCUGAAAGUGGACAAAGGAAAAGGCCACGAGUUCAUUCAAAGUUGAGCUGAGGAAUCUGAGAUUGAAGCAGUGGAGCUGAGAAGAGGGAAGAAAAUUAGAGGAAAAGAGCAAAAGAGAUGGAAGACAAUAUCACAACGAAUGAGGAAAGCGCUAGGAAAGGGGGAGGUGGCUAGUCUAGUGAUGGCUGGCUAACUUUUUUGGAUUUUUGUUUUGUUUUCCAGUUUUACUAUCUGACUUUCCACGUCAUCAUCACUCACCCAAAAAUAAACUACCUCCACUCAUCUUUUUUUAUCUUCGCGCCGUUUGGUUCACGGAACAGAUUUGAGAGAAAAUUACUUUUAAUAUCAUUUUCACAUUUGGUAAUGCCGAAAAAGUAAUCUGGAGAUUUCAUUUUAUUUUAUUUCUCAUAUUUAUUUUGAGUAGGAAUAGAAAACAAAGUUUGUAUAAUUUUUCAAUUAUACCCAUAGUAAAUCAAAUAAAAAAAGAAUGUAUUUAAUGAUACAUUGUAAUUCUAAAUUGUUAAUGGGGAUAAAAUGGUCAUGUAAAAUGUGCAUUGAAUAUUGAUUCAUUUUUCCAAACUUUCCUAUGAGGAGGGAAAACAAAACCCAAGUUGAAAGGAGGAUUUCACUUUCCCUUUAAUUUCUCAUGUGCCAGGCAAUCAUUUCCCAUGUAUGGAUUUAUCAAACAUGAGAAAGCAAUUGAUUUCCCAUACCCAAGCCUCAUUUCCCAUGAACAAAACGGGGCUUUUAAUUUUAGUGCAUCUUCAAGGGAAGAGGCAGAAGAGGGGAGCAUUUUUCCUCAUCACUUUAACCCAAAGUGUACCUUCAUCACAUUUCUCAACAUUUGACACUUGUCUAUUGACAUGACCAUGGUUCCAUAAAUACAAAGUAAAGAGUUAACUAUGGUUAUGCCAAUGGACACGUGUCAAGUGUUGAGAAUGAUGGUAAGAGUACACAUUGGGUUAAAGUGGUGAGCAAAAAUAUUUCAGCAAAAAAGUAGAUGAACCUCAUUUGCCUUGCCACAUCAACAUUUUCAUGCUCCAAGAGAAGAGGCAAAUGGGUAAGCAAAAUAUACCUACUCUCCCCAACAAGGCAAUAUUGCCUAUUUCAAAGUAAAGAGGUAUAUCAUGCUCCACUUAUUUUUAUAAUAAAAUAUCAUCUCCACUCUCUCAUUUAUUUUCUCUAAAAUAUAAUAGUAAAUGUAAAAGAUAAAAAUAAAUAAUAUAAUAAUAGUUUGUAGACUUGCAUUGCCUAUUCUCUUGAAAUGACCAAUUUUUUUCACGAGGCAAAUGGGUAGGCAACAUGCCACCUAAGUUGUUAUAGUACAAUUUUACUUAUUUCAUUUGCCUCUUCCCUUGGAGAUGCUUAAAGAAAUAAAAAAUUAUGAUUCAUAAUAUAUACAUGUGUAACGUACCUGCGCAAACUAACACUUUAUACUAAACUUUUAAAAAAUAAUUAUAGUUCAAAUUGUUGAAAAUAUUUAUUCGUAAAACUUUCGUCUUGUCUUAUACUCGAUUCUCCCUUUUCUUAUAUGUUUGUAUUAAGAAAGAAACUUGAAAACAAAUGAUACUCCCGACUGGUUGCUUUAUUAAGUAACAAAAAGUUUUUUGUUUUUUUUUGUUUUAAUAGGAACAAAAAGUGUUAUAAUUAGUUGUUCUUAUGUCUGAAUAAUUUCCUGCGGCUAAUGCAUGUGGAACUUACAACAUCUGCGACCUUUGGAAACAAGAUAGGAGAAUGACAAAUGUGUCUUGACUUCUUUAGCAUGUGUCUAUGACUUCCACCGCUAGUGUGUGAACUUUAUUUCGUACAAAGGAAAAACAAGGGUUGGAAUGUUUGGAUGCUUAUAUACACUAGGAAGCUUCACGGAUAUUAGCAAGUCUGAGUUUGAUUCAUCUUGAGCUUGACUAACAAAGUUAGGGCCCUUUCCUACUCAUUAAACCUCUUUUUCAAUACAAACAACAACUUCCAUACCUAACUCUUGAUUAAGAGCUGUUUUUUAUUUUUAAAAGAACCUUUCUUGUUGAGAGAAGCAAUAAUAUACUAAAUUUAUAAACACUACACGAAUACUAAGACUUAAACUCAGAAUCUUGACAAGUUAUUGGGCUUGGGAUUCUCCGCAAGGCUGUAUGGUUGUGGGACUCAAAGAGGCCACUAUGUCAGGAUCCAACGGAUAACAGAUACUGGAUUUUAUCCGCAUGUUUCUUGCCCUGAUUUAAACGAAUUUCAGGAUUUAAGGACUAAAUUAUAGGGGCACCCACAGAGGUGCGCCCCUCCAAAAAUAGGCGUAUGCCAUUUAAAGCGACGUGCACACGGUAUUCUUUAGUAAAAGGCGAAAGAAUAGUUCGCUUUGUGCUCAACGCAUGGCUCCGUGAUUUGGACCCUCACAUGCUGCUUUGCUUUAUACUACGGAGACUGCCUAAUUCUUGCUCUCUUGUCGAUGUGGGAGUCGUAGCGCUGUCGCUCGUGGCUCUGUCAUACUUGGUACUUCAAAUAUCAACAUUUUUUAUAUAGAGAAGCAAUUUCAACUUUGGGCUCAAACACUUGGGAUUCAAAGCCCAUACUUCCUGGUGGUUCACUUUACUUUCAUAGAUAAGCAUUUCAGAUAAAAUAGGAGAGCGACCAAAUUACUGUGGUUUCAGUUCACCGCUCCAUGACUUCCACAUGUAUGUAUGAACUUAUUUUACAUCAAGGAAAACGUCUGGAAUUGUUGGCUGUUGAUAGAGCCAUAUAAAGAAGCUGUAAGGACAUUAGUAGGUGUGAAAUUUAUUCAUCUUUACCAUCGAACUUAAAUGUCCCUUCUUUCCUAUAUUUUUUUCCUCACAAUUUUAUGUGGUGGUCUUCGAUUUUGUUCAAAGCAUUGUUGGUAGUGAAAAUGACAAACACAAUAAAAUUGUGAGUUGUUGAUGCAUUAUGAAUCAUAGUCGCUCAUGUCACUUUUGCCGACAAAGAAAAAAUUGUAAUUUCAUAUGAUGUCAAAUGUCGUGUAUCACCUGGUCUUGUAUCCCCUCUCAGAUUAAUUUUUCCUUUGUUAUGAUGUCAAAUAUCGUGUAUGACCUCAUCUUGUAUCCCCUCAGAAUUUCAAUUUUUCACCAGAACCCCUCUGAGAGGUUUCAGAUAAUAGAAUAAAAAUAGGUAAAAAUAAAGUGAUAGAAUAAAAACAUUUUAAUUGAAUUGUAAGGGUCACCUACAGAGGUGCACCCAUCAAAACACAGGCGUAUGCCAUUUAAAGCGACGAACACGCGGUAUUCUUUAGUAAAAGGCGAAAGAAUAGUUCGCUUUGUGCUCAACGCAAGGCUCCUUUUUUCGGGCCCUCACAUGCUGCUUUGCUUUAUUCUACAGAGACUACCUACUUCUUGCUCUCUUGUCGAUGUGGGAGCUGCAGCGCUAUCGCUCAAGGCGCACGCUCUCAUACUUGGAGAAGCAAUUUCAACUUUGGGCUUAAACACUUCGGAUUCAAAGCAAAGGGUGAUUUACUUUGCUUGCAUCGUCUUUGAAAGAAGAUAGGAGACCGACAAAUUAUUGUGGCUUUAUUCCACCACUCCAUGACUUUCCUCCACAGAUAUGUAUGAAUUUAUUGUACAUCAAGAAAAAGGUAAGGAAUAUUUGGUUGUUGAUUCCGAAGUGUUUAAGCCAUAAGGGCUUCACGGACAUUAAAAACUGUAAAUUUGAUUCCUCUUGACCAUCGAACUUAAGAUCCCUUUUUUCCUGGACUUUUUCCUCAAAAUUUGGGUGGUUGCCUUGGAUAUUAAAACUAAUCUUUUACCUGUUGGUUGUGUUCCUUCCUCGAACAUGAAUCUAUUGUUGUUCAAAGUAGUGUUGGGUACAAUUUACAACAAAGUUGUGAAUAAUUGUGUACGCUGUGGGUCAGUCGCGCAUGUCAGUCACACAUGCGCGAGUAGAAUGAUACUAACAAAAUCUUAAGGCCCGUCUGAUAACGUUUUCAAAGAGCAUUUUUAGAAAAUAAAAACGCGUCUGGUAGCUUAGUUGAAAACUGUUUUUAGAGAACAAAAACAGUGAAAACGCGUCUGGCAAUAAUAUGUGAAAAUGACAAAAACAAUGAAGAUGUAUGUAACUUUAAUUAAAAUGCUUUUUUUUUUAAUACAACAUUAUGUAAUCAAUAUGUGAGUUAAAAAAAAAUAGUAUGUAUAUUAUUUUUUAAGCAUCUUAAAGAAUAUCAUUUAAAAAAUAGAAUAAAAUUAUAUAUUAUAAAACUAGAAUUAUCUUUGUAAAAAAAAUUGAAACCUCAACCCAACCUUCGCUUUCACUCUCUGCAAACCCACCCCAAUUCUAUCAUUCCCCUCUCUCUCUCUCUCUCUCUCUCUCUCUCUCUCUCUCUCUCUCUCUCUCUCUCUCUCCAAAAUUGAAGAAUUAGACCAACCCCCUUUUUUUUUCACUUUCUCUUCAUGCUGCUGCACCUUCUCUCUAUCUUUCUCUCACUGCAACCUCACCUUCCAAUAGCUUCCCAGCUCAUUUUCCUUUUCUUGGACUGAAAAUUGAUUCAGCAAUUAGUUGUUCAACGAUGGUAGUUCAAUUCAAUUGCGUAGAGAAUUUGUUAGCUUUGAUUAAGUGGCGGUGAUGUCAGUCUGGUUUGAUGGGGUGAUGUUGGUGGUUCAAGCUCUGCGUGUGAUUCUCUGUUGGCAGCGUUUGACGGUGGUUUUGGUCUGAUGGGGAGAGAAGCAACGUGUUUUCAGUGUUGUUUCCUGUGAGAAUGAAAACAGCUUUUUUCUGUUUUCUACAAGUAGACGUGGAAUUGUUUUUGUUUUCAUAAAACGUUCUCUGUGUUUUCUGUUUUUGUCCACUAAACAGGUUUUUUGUUUGUUUUUAUUCUCUCAAAAUAAAAAUGAGCUCUCAAAACAUAAACGAACCGGGCCUUAUAUUUUUAAGCGCACUUCUGCCAACAUAAAAAAUGAUGUGAUUUGAUAUGAUGUCAAGCUACACAAAACUUAGAGGCAACAAUAUUGUACUGCAUAGUAAAAUGCAAUAUUCCAAGCUAUGCAUCAUUCUCAUAAUCAAGGUCUAAAAUAUCGAGGGUUUUAGAAAUAUCGGAGGUCCAAAAACACAGAAAUAUUGAUUGAAAUAUUGGAAAAGUAUCAAUAUUGGUAAAAAUUGAAUACAAACCACAGAAAGAAAAACUUGAAAAUUUUGAUUGAAACUUUAGAGAAUGUUUAUUUAGUCAAAUAUCUAUUAUUUUAUCACAAAAAAUUGGAAGGAAAUGCAUUACAUUGUGGGUUUGACUUGAUUUAAGUUGAUUAUAUAGCGUACUGACAAACACCGUGAGUGUAGAAAAUAUGUAGUAAUUAAUGAAAGAAAAUUAAACAUACCAUAAUCAUUUAUUUAUAAUGAUUUACUACAAUAUUUUACACUUUAUAUAUUGCAUGGUAACAUACAUGAGUGACUUAGUACCACAUAGAGUUCCUAUGAGGUUCAAAUUUUUCACUGUCUUUAUUAUCUCUAGUUAUGUGCAGAGUACAUGUACUGUGAAGAGUAGCCAUCAAAUGAUAAAUUUCCAAAAUAGUUUUGCAUAUAAUUGUUAACAUGUCAUCCAUAUGGAUUUGAGAAUGGUUGACGUUUCCCGUAAAGAAAAUCAUUUGAAGAUUGGGUCUCGAUUCUUUCUAUGAGCCGCUCGAUUCCAUCCCAAAAGGCAUGAGAUAUGAAGGGUAAGAAAAUGGUUGGUUUUGUGUAUAACAAAGUCAUCGACAGUGUGGUGGAUAAGGCGUAGGAGGAAGAAUGGAAGUGGCAAAGGUUCAAAUCCCCAUGUGCGCACGCGUAUAAGCCUUUUCAUUAUUUUUUCUAUUCCAUGUCCAUAUCAUGAUAUUAUCGUGAUACACUGACCAAAUGCUGAUGAUAAUUGAAGGAUAUUAUUGAAGUCGAAAUUUUCCUGAUAUUAUCGAUAUUUAUAUGAUAAGUACACGAAGGGCUUGGAUGUAUUAUGCCCCAGCCCAAAAGCUUUGUUAUGUUAAUCAUAUAACUGGGUUUUUUCUCUUUAAAACAGUGUGUUACAACAACUGACCACAGAAGAAUAUGUUGUGGAAGUAGAGUUACUAGAUCUAAAUGAAUCUUUCAUUUUUAGGUGCUAUGAGAUCGUGUGGGAUGCUGGAAGUGAUGUAGACUUUUUUGGCUGGGUAAAUGUUGAGGGUAAGACCUUCUCACUUUUGGUGCUUUUAGUUUCAUGUUCAAGCAAAAUAUGUUGUUCUCAUAAUCUCUUUGAUGCAAUGGUGAUGCAAGGACUCUUCUUGAUCAUCUAUCUAUUAACUCUCAAUGAGUUGGGCUUCAUUUGUAAUGUUUAUCCCUCAAUGUCUUGUUGGAAGUAUUUUUCUAAAUUUAUUGUAUGUAAGAACCUCCGUUUAGGAUGUAUGCUUCUUAUACAUCUCUCUUAUUUACCGCUAUAUUAAGGAAAUUCUGCUUGUUUAAAAAACACACACACAAGUGACCACCAAAGAAGGACAAGGAUUUACAAGAAUAUUUAAUGAAGUGUCAGUUCCAACAAACAUGAAAGUUUGGCCUAAAAGUUUAUACAAAAAUAUUUUGCAGUUCAUCUUGUAGGGGCUGGUCAAAGCAAUUAUUACAAUUAUUUUAAUCUGUAUGUGAUCAAGGGUAAAAAUAUCCACUUCAAAUGUAACUUAUACAUGAAUUAUAAGGGGCACCUACAGAGGUGCGCCCCUCCAAAAAUAGGCGUAUGCCAUUUAAAGCGACGCGCACACGGUAUUCUUUAGUAAAAGGCGAAAGAAUAGUUCGCUUUGUGCUCGACGCAUGGCUCCGUAAGUUACAAGUGGAUCAGCUGCUUUAUUUUAUAUGAACUACCAUACAUUCUUUUAGCUCCUUCUGCCGAUGUGGGACAAAACUUCCUACACCUCAAAGACUUUUCAUAUAUUAGUUCAACGGCCAACUUAGAAAAACUUGGCUUAGCAUAUGCGGAGGACAUUACCCUUAUCUGCCACACUUGUUAUUUCCUCUAGUCCUUCAUCUUCAACCGCAGCAUGCCUCUGCUCAUCUUAGUUAUUCCCAUCCAAUCCCAAUGACCCAAAGCUCUGAGUUUGCUAGUUCCUUUGUGAAUUUCGUACCUUACAUAAAAUAAAUUAAACCCUGGUUGAGGCUCAGUCUGUGUACGAGAAUUGUGUAGGAGACUCAGUCUGUGUACAAUUGUCAUUAAGUCCUGGUUGAGGCUUGGUGGAUAUAAUUAGUGUUCAUUUCAAAAUGUGAAUUUGACAACCACAGAUUGACAAAAGUUCCGGUCUCUUCAGUUUAAUGCUUAAAAAAUAAAUUAUUUUUCAGGGAUACAGUGUAUCUGGCUAAAGGCCUAAUUUGACCACUACUGUCUAUGAAUUUGACUUAACUUUGCUCCCCUGGAAAACCAGCAGACAGGUGAUUUAUUACUCUUGUUGGCCAAUUUAUUACUUUGAUGGUCAAGCUCAAGACAGCAUUGGCUAACUUUUGUCUGAGCCAACACAUGGGGAGAAAAGACUUUUGAUUCAGAAUUUAUUGUGUAUCAGACAUGGCAGUGAUACAAUCAAAUAUUGGUGAACAACACUGCAAUGAAAAUAAAUUGCCCAACAAUCAUUCUUUGUUUGAAUUGAAUCUUUCAUGUAAUUUGUUUCCUAGAUAUAUCAGCCAAUUGCCAUUUCCAAAACCAGAUGCCAAGAUAGUGGAUGUGAACCUCAGAAGUCACACUCAGAAAAGAGACAUCAUAUUUAUAUGUGAAAAUGAUAAACUUCCAGCGCCUAUAUGCAUACUUUUCAUCUCCCCCUCCUUUUUUCUUAUCAAGUUAACCAUUGAUUUGAAGAGUUAAUAAAUAUUUUAAGCAUAUGUCAGUGAAGUAAUGCCUUGUACUUCUGUUGGAGUUUGAAAAUUAUAUAGUAGAACAAGCUUUCUGUUUACUUAAACACAAUGAACAAGCUUUCUGUUUCUCUUUUGACACUUAGUUGAUGAAACAAAACACUACCCUUUACCUGAGAAACUUCAAACAAUCAUAAACUUUAACAUAUCCAUGCGGAAUACAAUUAAGGAAAAAGAUGGAUACUUUAACAAAACAGCUGAAGUUCAGCAAAUAAUUGGGAAAAAUCAAACCUAAGAAAGCUUAGAUAUUCAUCAUUGAGCCAACCAUACUUCUCCAUGAAUGGAUUGACUAAGGUUUUAGGAGGGUAACUCUCUAUGCAAUCUUUCCAAACAUUGGCAUCACCCAAGUCCUUGAGCACUUCCCACACAAUAUUGUUGCACUUAAAACCUGCUCCAAAUCCACUCAUCAGAAUUCUGUUGCCCUUCUUAAGCCUCUGCUUGGCCUCCAUAUAUCCCAAAGCAUACCAAAAGCCAGCUGCUGAUGUGUUGCCAAACCUGUGAAGUGCCAUUCUAGAUGGCUCAACAUCAUAAUCACUUAGCCCCAAGCUCUUACCAAUCCCAUCUAUGAUUGCUCUUCCACCAGGGUGAAUGCAAAAGUGCUCAAUCCCGGUCUUAAGAUUCAACCCAACUCCCUCAUCUGCUUUUGGCUUUUGGCUUUUGGCACUUUUAAGCCUAGAUACCGCCAGGUACCUAAGUAUUUCUCUCAGUGGAAGCACUUUUGGUACUAGAACUUGGAGGUUCAUUGUAAAAGCCAGAGCUGCUGCUUUUGUGAGGUGUUUGGUAAGGCGAAAACCUUGAUAUCCACUCUCAUCUUCUGCCUGUAUGCAGCAAUCAUACGCUUCAUCACUUGAGCCAAUGUGGGUUCGUACCAAAUGCCUUAACUUCAACAUGGCUUGGUGCUUUAGGCCUUUGUUGUUUGUGAACAGCAUCGAACACCCUCCCGAGCGGAACAGACAGUUGGUGAGCAUCAUGGACUUUUCUUUGCCACAGUACCAGUUAGGAGCUAUGGAUUCUGUGCUUACAACAAUUGCAUUUGCGUUUUUGUAUGACUUGAACAAGUUUUGUACAACAUCAAUAGCAAUGAGACUUGCACUGCAUCCCAUUCCUGAGAGGUUGAAGGUCUUGAUGUCCUCCCUCAUCUUGUAACGAUUUAUUAUACGAGAUGUUAGAGAGGGUGCAGGGGAGAACAUUGACACAUUGACAACCAGAAUGUCGAUUUGUGAUGGAGAAAUUGAAGUAGGCCUGGCAAAAAGCUUGUCAAGUGUGUCAAAUAUGAUACCAUCCAUCUCACAAAGCUCAUCUGCCCGGGUUGGAUUUCGGCCUUCAAUGAUGUUUCGUGGGCAAGAUGUUUCUUCACCAAUGCCAGAACUGACAAUAGUUUUCAAGAGAAACCUGAGUUCUUCCAAUCCCAAAUUCUUGUUCUGCAUGACGAUUUUUGCGCUGGAAUCACAGUUGAGCUUCAUGUCCUCUUUGGCCUUGUAGCACUCAUAAGCCAGCAUAUAGCAGCUCUGGUCUCUCCUUUGGAGAAGUAACUUGCAGAGGCAGAAGAAACCAAAGAAAAGAGUGAGAAGAGACAUUGUCAUGAAGAUCUCCAUGGCCCUACAGCUCUCUUUGUUUGUGGGUGUGAGAGAUGGAGAGAGAUAGAAUUGUGAAGUGUUAUAUGUGAGUUGCAUGCAAAACUUCAACAACUAUCUUAGUACUUAUCCUACACUGCACCCAUCUCUUUCUUAUAAAUCGAUGGUGAUGAACUAAUGUUGCUUGUGAUCACUAAUGGAAAGACCUCUACUUUUUACCUACAAGUUAGCAGGUAUUUAUUAAGAUUAAUUUUAUGGUUAGGCGGUAGGCACAACCAUGCAAUAAAACGACAAGCCAUGACUGAACGAACAGCCUAAAUGGUCAGAGUUUCAGUCAAGUUAUUGAGAGGGAGUUAUGCUUCAUAUCUACACUAGCCAAGUUGCCAUCUCUCCUCUUACAAAAACUUCAACGCUAAAAUUAAUAUCAAACAGUUCUAAAUUCUCUCUCUCUCUCUCUCUCUCUCUCUCUCUCCAUAUAUAUAUAUACAGAGAGCUUCCAUUGAGGGAUCCCUCAAAUAAGCUUAUUUGAGGGACACCCCUUGUAGGCCCCACUUCGGAUUGUAUUUCAUUAAUCCAAACCGUCUAUUUUGUAGAUACUCAUUCAAAGAUCAUCCCUACAAAAAAUCACUUGAAUCCGAUAUCAUUUGACCACUCAAUUAAGUUAUUGAAAUUUUAGCAUUUUCUUGAAGUACCGUGUUCAUUGAUUUUGUAAGACACAAUUGGAUGUCGAAACGGUUUCCGAUUUGUCUAAUUUUUUGUUAGGAUGAUCUAUGAAUGAAGACCUAAAAAAUAGAUGGUUUGGAUCAUUGGGAAAAAAAUUGUAGAGUACCCUAAAGGGCGUCCCUCAAAUAAUUUUAUUUAAGGGAUCCCUCAAUAGAAGGGGACUGUAUAUAUAUAUAUAUAUAUAUAAUCUUUUAAAUUUCUGUAAAAACAAGAAGACUUUUGAAUAUUUUUUGUUGCUGAAAUGUUUGGUUUUGGGGUUAUGUGGGAUUUCAUUAUUGCCCUGCUCAAGAAAAUGUAACUUUCCAAGGUGUGAAUUAUCUUUUAUCAUCUCAUUAUUUCUUCCAAGAGACAUGAAUUUGAAGUUGAAGUUACAGCACGAAACUAGCAAGUGGGCUGUGUAUGUACAUUAAGUCUUUGUCUGCCUGUUUACUUUUCGGUUUGUGUGUGCUUUAUCUUUGUGUAGUUUGUGUGUUAUAAUUGCGAAGUUUAUCAACAACAAGGUCUUGGAGUGUUUUCGCACAACAGAAAUAACUCUCCAAUAGAAGACAGUUGCAAUGAAGUCUCUCAUAUUUAUAAUAGCACAUUCAGUUGGAUUUCUUGGGAGUGGGUGCACAUUUUCAAGUGCAUUCAUUCCCAUAGAAAACGCUAUAUUUCUCUAGAUGGCAAAAUGAAAUAAGUCUAUAUAUGCCUUCUAGUUGCAUCAUGUUUGCAUUUACAGGUUCUAAUUCUAGGUUGCAGAACUCCAGAAUAUAUUUGAAAACUCAUGAGUUCCACUCUAAGAUAUAAAAUCAAUAGGCUAUGAUCAAAAUGGCAGACUGGUCUUCCACUAGACUAAUGCACCACACUGGUUAUUCAGAAACCAAACUGCGCUCAAGGCACUUGCAUUGCUUAUUUCAACCCAGAAUACAAAUUUAAACAAAUUCAUGUGUAACUAGGUUUCAAAUAAAUUGAAUUGCUUUAUUAUUUGAAUGUUGGACUGUUGUCCCACUGGAUAUUGGAACAGCCAUUCUAUUACAACAUAACUACAGAUAAAUCAGAUGAGACGAAAAAAGUACUUGGAAAAUCGGCUGCAAGUGCGGGUCUUCAACUUCCUGAGGUUUAUCAGCCUUGAAAUUUAGUUGGGUAUAAUUUGCUACAUUCUAUUAUGGCAUAGAAAAUAUGCCUCCAGCGAACCAUGUAGCCUGUGGAAUUUUUUAGUUAUAUUCGUAAAUAACUAAGUGCUAUAUGCUUGUUACCAACAAUGGGAUCGAAAUUUGUUUGACUUGCUGCUAUCUAUUUUAACAAAAAUAAGUUUUGCUACAUCAGCUGAAUUUGAUCAUUUGUAAGGGUAUUGACUUGUAUACCAGUGGUCUCACAUAUACUUUAGUAGUGUGUGAUCACAAAACCCCCUUCCCUUAAUAUCACUUGUAUUAAAAAAUAUAUAUAUAUAUUACGACAAAAACAAAUCAUAAUAAUCAAAUUAUUUUAUUGCCCAUUUAAAUGUCAGAUAAUAAAUAAUAAAUGAAAAGGCAGGUUUUAAUACGCCCCAUUAUUUUUUUUUAAAACGCAUGUCUAGAAAAUGGACUUUCAAAAACAAAAAAAUUGUAAGUCGAGUGGAAAAAAGGCCUCUCAUAGCACAUGCUUCUUUUCUUUUCUUUUUUUAAUUUAUAAAUAUAAGCGAACUACAAGGGGUGGGGUUCUCACACACACACUAUCAAGGUGCUAUGUGAAUUCGAACUUAAGACCAUUAGUCUGCAAAUUAAGACCUUUUUUUCAUUGGGUUAAAUUAUGUUAGUGCACAGGGGCUAAUUUAAAAUUAAUUAAGAAAAUUUAAUAUAAAGAGAAAACAAACUGCAGGAAACUUUGAGAUUCCUUAUUUUUUAGUGUACCACACAAGAUCACCAGUCCCCUUUUUUCCGUUGUUUUUAUGGGUUCGCAUGUUUUCUAAGUCCUUGUUUAAUCUUUGGGCGUGAUACUCCUCAGUAUAUAAUUCCCAUUCUAAUGAGAGAUUCCUAUUAUUUAAAGACUUAUGCAAUUAAUUUUAUUUCAUAAACAUCUUUUACGGUUUAUUACGAUUUUUUUCAACAAUUCAAAACUAUCUAUUUUUCAAAUCUUUAUUCAUAAAUCAUCCUUACAUAAAAUUAGACAAAUUGAAAAUCAUUUAGACAUCUAGUCAUAUCUAAUAAGAUUUCAAAUUUGUUCAAAGAGGUGUAAUUGAUGAUCAGAGUCUGAUAAUAAUUCCAAUUUCAAAGAAUAAUCAAUUCAUGAAGUCUAAUGUCUAUUUGAUUCUCCAAACAGUACCCAUUUUCGACACAGCAUAUAAUGAUGGAUCCAUAUGAGCGGGAUUUGUAUACAUUAUUGCCCUACUCAAAAAAAAUGUAACUUUCCAAGAUGUGAAUCUGAAGGUACAGCUAGAAAUUAGCAAGUGAAUAGUAAAUGCAAUUCCAACGAUGGGAAACAGAGCAUUGUAUUCACAUAAAAAACCAUUUGGGUACAAUAGUAAGCGACAAACACCAGAAAUAAGAAAAUCCAAAUAAUUCGAACUCAAAUUAUAGGGGCACCCACAGAGGUGCGCCCCUCCAAAAAUAGGCGUAUGCCAUUUAAAGCGACGCGCACACGGUAUUCUUUAGUAAAAGGCGAAAGAAUAGUUCGCUUUGUGCUCGACGCAUGGCUCCGUAAGUUUUCAAGCAAACAGCUACUUUAUUUUAUAACCCCGACUCUAGCUAGUUCGUACUCCUUCAGCCGAUGUGGGACAAAAGUGCCUACACCUCAACCCUUCUCAAAACGGCCAACUUAGAAAAACUUAGCUUAGCAUAUUCAGAGGAGAUUGCCCUUCUCUAUCACACUUAA